CCUGAAUAGCUCUAUUUUCUCUUGAUUGGGUUUAUACCUUAGUUUCCAAGGAAUCAAUAGAUUAUAUGUACCAUAGCACCUCUCUGUUUACACGUUAUCUCUCUCUCUCUCUCUCUCGGAUUUUCGAGAUGAGAGAUCAGCGCAAACUGAAGUAAGCCCUCGAUUUUGCAAAAUUUUAUUUUUCUGUUUCUUCUGGGACGCGUGGCGGAUUGAC
Molecule: unclassified non-coding RNA, 214 nt
Filed under: Hevea brasiliensis (rubber tree)
Lineage: Eukaryota; Viridiplantae; Streptophyta; Magnoliopsida; Malpighiales; Euphorbiaceae
Source: RNAcentral